RNAcentral lists this long non-coding RNA (3278 nucleotides) under Pelobates cultripes (western spadefoot toad). The record is from RNAcentral. Lineage: Eukaryota; Metazoa; Chordata; Amphibia; Anura; Pelobatidae.
GUUUAGAUUUGAUUAUAUUCCAUUAGCAUUAGACAGUCUGUCCAACCCCCUUCCUUAUCACUUGGCUUGUAUAUACUAUGCAUUCCUCAGCUCUAGGAAAGUGGUUAGCUUACAGAUAGAAAUCUAGUGUCUUUUUGUUAACUUGAAAUAACAAAAUGGAGUCUGGUCUGUUCAGAGUGACUCAGAAUAUACACUUUUGGUUUCUAUCAUAGCACAAAAUGUCUGCCGAUAUAAAUACUCUGACAAUUGUUUAGUUUGAGGUACAACCCUAGGGGAAAAUACAACUUAUUUCCCAAUGAGAUCCUGUUCAGUACAGCACCAAGGUUAGGUUGUUACUUCCCCCAGCAGCUUCAGAUUCAGUCAGACGCUGAAUCUCUGCUCUCUGCUCUCUCUCAUGCCUUGACCAAAAUCCAUGCCCAAGUGUUUUCUUCUAUUCCAGAUCCUGAGUCGAAUACAGGUACACACAAGUUGCUCCCUGGUGACUGGGUUAUGGUCAAGAAAUUCCUCAGGAAACACACCCUUGAACCAAGGUUUGAUGGUCCUUACCAAGUGCUGCUGACUACAGCUACCUCAGUAAAAUUAGCAGGGAAGAGUUCCUGGAUACACGCCUCACACUGCAAGAAAGUGCCUGCUCCAAAAGAAGUUGCCCCUGCUGAGCCAUGAAUUUUCUGUGUUCCUUGUGUUUUCUCUUGCUACUAAACUUUAUAGGGCCCCAGCAAGUGGCUAUAACCAAAGAUAACCAUGUUUGCACUUUUUGGUACAAUUCCUCAAACACAGAUGUAGUUACCUUUUCUUUUGAUUAUUGUGAUAUUGUUACUUGCACCUUCCCACAGACACAAUAUGCUGCUAUAUACAAGGACAUACCCAGUAAGAAGGACCCAUACAUUUGUGUAACAGGAGGGUCACCUCUUGGAAGGCGGCUGGGUGGAAUACAGGUAGAUCAUGGGGCUAUAAACCCCAGAGUGCCCUAGACAGAAUUGACAAAGACGGGAAGCCCCUACUCUCCAGAAUGACCUUAAGUAAACCUAUUGGGUCAACCCCCAUCAAACUCACUCUGAACAUAGAGCAUCCCAGUCCGAGGGAUGCAGGGGAAUAUGUAAUGGGUAUGUACUGGAGGGGCGGUGGCUCAUACAACAAGUUGGGGAAAUUCUACCUGCAAGACAUGCUCACCUCACCUGACUGGGUAGGAACUACACACGACUGUCAACCCACUUAAGCCACAUAUUAGGACUCUAUAUGAUAUAUGAUACGGUGGCUAUUGCUAAUCCUACCUUUGAAGACACCAUGGCAGUGGAAACUGGGUUCUCAGACACUAACUUAUGGCUGGAAUGGAUGAGAUAUAAUGCUAACUCACACAAUAAGACUAACUUAUGUAUGUGGGGGUGCUAGGCCCCACCUGGGUACGUUGCCUUUAAAUCUACCUCCCGAUGUUGAACUAUGUGUCUUGAGUCUUUAUGCACAAUCCACCACUAACUCUUCAACAUGUGAGUCAUGGAAAAAGGUCUACCCAAUCAUCCAGGGACACGUGAGACCACCUGAUGGAGUCACGGUAUACCCAGGUAAUUACACUUGUUAUUCAAUACCUGAGAACACGGGUACAUUCAUGGGCAAAUUCCCAUCUGGUUACUGUUCCACUUACCAUAAUCCACCCACGGCAUUGUUAAUGAAUCAUGUAAAGACAGUCGGGGACAUUUAUUGGCUGUGUGGUGAUAAGCAACUGAGAUCCCAACUAACGGGGCUAUGGUGGGGAGAAUGUACACUAACUAAAGCCAUAAUGCCUAUCCACAUUAUUCCGGAUGGCCAUCACAAUGUGUUAGAUCCCACGCACACACACCCCAGAGUCAAAAGGGAAGCCCCAAUCUGUGGUAGCUUCGAUCCACAUGUUUAUAUUGAUGCCAUUGGUGUGCCAAGGGGGGUGCCCAAUGAAUUUAAAGCAAGGGAUGAAGUGGCAGCCGGGUUUGAAUCUUUGAUUCCAAUGAUUACAGCUAAUAAGAAUGUUAAUUAAGUUAAUUAUAUCUAUUAUAAUCAGCAGCGGUUUGUUAAUUAUACUAGAGAUGCCCUACAGGGCCUAGCAGAACAGCUACAAGCUGCCACCCAAAUGACAUUUCAAAAUAGAAUGGCUCUGGAUAUGAUCUUAGCAGAGAAGGGGGGCUUAUGUGAAAUCCUCCCCGAGACAAUGACAUGCUGUACAUUUAUUCCAGAUAACACUGGGCCCAAUGGUAAAGUGACUAUGGCAAUAGAGAAAUUAGACAGCCUUUCAGAUGAACUAAAAAAGAACUCAGGGGUCACUGACACAUGGGACAGAUGGUUUGGAUGGAUGAAUGGUUGGCAGAGAACCCUAUUCCAGGUUGGGACAGCAGUCCUCAUAAUGAUUAUCAUCUUUCUAUUCUUAACCUGUUGUGUACUUCCUUUCAUACAAAAGUACUUACAGAAGACAGUAGGGAAGACUAUGGACAACGUAACCCCUACUUUCCUACACCAGGACGUCACUGACCUAGAAUGUGACACACCACAUACACCCCUCCAAUCCCAUCAAUUCAGACAGACAACUGCAUUUUUGUAGGGAUAGCAUAGGGAAAGCGUCUGUCUCUACAGGCAAGUCUCACGUGCGGAUAUGUGGUGGACUAGCCGCCGCGGGUUACCCACGAGUGAAGUGUUCGAUGCUUGUUAAGACAGAUGAGCUGCAGGCAGCUAGGGACAUGUUAGGGACAGUAGCAGUUGUUCUAGUAAAUAGUCAUUUUAAGUGGGGACUGUUGUGGAAAUUAGAUAUUGACAUAUUUUUUAGUUAGUAAAAUGCCUAUUUACUCAUUUAACUGAAAUCAGUGUAUAAGCUAUUCACGCAUAUUUAGACAAAAUGGCCACUAGAAGCUUCUAACCCCUCCCUCCUUAUAACACCGACUAACUACCUUGUGCUACAAGAUGGCGCUGAGAUCUGGAGGAGACCCUCAUGGUCUCAGUGACAUCACCCUUAGUAGGCAGAGCAUUAGGGAAACCACUUAACACCUAACCAAUUAUUGAUGUAUUAUUCCAUGUUAUCUCUGACAAUGCUUAUGAUGUAAUUUUGCUUUAAAAGGGACCUGCCGUCCCAUCUGAAAAAACAUUCCUCAAGUUAUUCAUCAACCUGAAACCUGUGUCUGGUGUGAAUUACUUCAGGGAGCGUGCAUGCAUUGUUUCCUAAUUUGGCCAGGGGCAGAUACACAGAGAAUAAUCAAUUAAUUGAAUUGAUUUCCACUUCAAUUAUUAUAUAUCUGGAUUAAAAAAAAUUAAACAGAAAUGAG